This 503-nucleotide ribosomal RNA is filed under the name uncultured bacterium. RNAcentral's name for it is "partial 16S ribosomal RNA". It matches the Rfam family "Bacterial small subunit ribosomal RNA", at positions 28 to 523 of the family's 1533-position model. The record is from RNAcentral.
GAUGAACGCUAGCGACAGGCUUAACACAUGCAAGUCGAGGGGCAGCACGGUGUAGCAAUACAUUGGUGGCGACCGGCGCACGGGUGAGUAACGCGUAUGCAACCUACCUAUCAGAGGGGAAUAACCCGGCGAAAGUCGGACUAAUACCGCAUAAAACAGGGGUUCCACAUGGAAAUAUUUGUUAAAGAUUUAUCGCUGAUAGAUGGGCAUGCGUUCCAUUAGAUAGUUGGUGAGGUAACGGCUCCCCAAGUCUACGAUGGAUAGGGGUUCUGAGAGGAAGGUCCCCCACACUGGUACUGAGACACGGACCAGACGCCUACGGGAGGCAGCAGUGAGGAAUAUUGGUCAAUGGGCGAGAGCCUGAACCAGCCAAGUCGCGCGAAGGAUGAAGGAUCUAUGGUUUGUAAACUUCUUUUAUAUGGGAAUAAAGUGAGGAACGUGUUCCUUUUUGUAUGUACCAUAUGAAUAAGCAUUGGCUAACUCCGUGCCAGCAGCCGCGGUAA